This 482-nucleotide ribosomal RNA is filed under the name uncultured bacterium. RNAcentral's name for it is "partial 16S ribosomal RNA". It matches the Rfam family "Bacterial small subunit ribosomal RNA", at positions 28 to 507 of the family's 1533-position model. The record is from RNAcentral.
GAUGAACGCUCGCGGCAGGCCUAAUACAUGCAAGUCGGACGGGAUUCAGGAGCUUGCUUCUGAUGAGAGUGGCGCACGGGUGCGUAACACGUAUGUAACCUACCUUUAUCAGGGGGAUAGCCCCUCGAAAGAGAGAUUAAGCCCGCAUAAAAUCACAGCACAGCAUUGUGUAAUGAUCAAAUAUUUAUAGGAUAAAGAUGGGCAUGCGGAACAUUAGCUAGAUGGCGGGGUAACGGCCCACCAUGGCGACGAUGUUUAGGGGAUCUGAGAGGAUGGCCCCCCACACUGGUACUGAGACACGGACCAGACUCCUACGGGAGGCAGCAGUAAGGAAUAUUGGUCAAUGGGCGGAAGCCUGAACCAGCCAUGCCGCGUGCAGGAAGACGGCCCUACGGGUUGUAAACUGCUUUUAGACGGGAAUAAACCCAGAUACGUGUAUCUGGCUGAAUGUACUGGAAGAAUAAGGAUCGGCUAACUCCGUG